This 825-nucleotide ribosomal RNA is filed under the name Bacillus licheniformis. RNAcentral's name for it is "bacterial SSU rRNA". It matches the Rfam family "Bacterial small subunit ribosomal RNA", at positions 9 to 812 of the family's 1533-position model. Lineage: Bacteria; Bacillati; Bacillota; Bacilli; Caryophanales; Bacillaceae. The record is from RNAcentral.
GAGUUUUGUACAUGGCUCAUGGACGAACGCUGGCGGCGUGCCUAAUACAUGCAAGUCGAGCGGACCGACGGGAGCUUGCUCCCUUUAGGUCAGCGGCGGACGGGUGAGUAACACGUGGGUAACCUGCCUGUAAGACUGGGAUAACUCCGGGAAACCGGGGCUAAUACCGGAUGCUUGUUUGAACCGCAUGGUUCAAACAUAAAAGGUGGCUUUUCGCUACCACUUACAGAUGGACCCGCGGCGCAUUAGCUAGUUGGUGGGGUAACGGCUCACCAAGGCGACGAUGCGUAGCCGACCUGAGAGGGUGAUCGGCCACACUGGGACUGAGACACGGCCCAGACUCCUACGGGAGGCAGCAGUAGGGAAUCUUCCGCAAUGGACGAAAGUCUGACGGAGCAACGCCGCGUGAGUGAUGAAGGUUUUCGGAUCGUAAAACUCUGUUGUUAGGGAAGAACAAGUACCGUUCGAACAGGGCGGUACCUUGACGGUACCUAACCAGAAAGCCACGGCUAACUACGUGCCAGCAGCCGCGGUAAUACGUAGGUGGCAAGCGUUGUCCGGAAUUAUUGGGCGUAAAGCGCGCGCAGGCGGUUCUUUAAGUCUGAUGUGAAAGCCCCCGGCUCAACCGGGGAGGGUCAUUGGAAACUGGGGAACUUGAGUGCAGAAGAGGAGAGUGGAAUUCCACGUGUAGCGGUGAAAUGCGUAGAGAUGUGGAGGAACACCAGUGGCGAAGGCGACUCUCUGGUCUGUAACUGACGCUGAGGCGCGAAAGCGUGGGGAGCGAACAGGAUUAGAUACCCUGGUAGUCCACGCCGUAAACGAUGA